UAGGGAAUCUUCGGCAAUGGACGAAAGUCUGACCGAGCAACGCCGCGUGAGUGAAGAAGGUUUUCGGAUCGUAAAACUCUGUUGUUAGAGAAGAACAAGGACGUUAGUAACUGAACGUCCCCUGACGGUAUCUCACCAGAAAGCCACGGCUAACUACGUGCCAGCAGCCGCGGUAAUACGUAGGUGGCAAGCGUUGUCCGGAUUUAUUGGGCGUAAAGCGAGCGCAGGCGGUUUCUUAAGUCUGAUGUGAAAGCCCCCGGCUCAACCGGGGAGGGUCAUUGGAAACUGGGAGACUUGAGUGCAGAAGAGGAGAGUGGAAUUCCAUGUGUAGCGGUGAAAUGCGUAGAUAUAUGGAGGAACACCAGUGGCGAAGGCGGCUCUCUGGUCUGUAACUGACGCUGAGGCUCGAAAGCGUGGGGAGCAAACAGG
This 429-nucleotide ribosomal RNA is filed under the name Gemmatimonadota bacterium. RNAcentral describes it as "Gemmatimonadetes bacterium partial 16S ribosomal RNA". It matches the Rfam family "Bacterial small subunit ribosomal RNA", at positions 355 to 776 of the family's 1533-position model. The record is from RNAcentral. Lineage: Bacteria; Pseudomonadati; Gemmatimonadota.